This 516-nucleotide ribosomal RNA is filed under the name Fejervarya orissaensis (Orissa frog). RNAcentral's name for it is "partial large subunit ribosomal RNA". It matches the Rfam family "Bacterial large subunit ribosomal RNA", at positions 1836 to 2564 of the family's 2925-position model. The record is from RNAcentral. Lineage: Eukaryota; Metazoa; Chordata; Amphibia; Anura; Dicroglossidae.
UGCUUUAACAUAAGAAGUCCAGCCUGCCCAGUGACACAAUUAAACGGCCGCGGUACCCUGACCGUKCGAAGGUAGCAUAAUAACUUGUYYUUUAAAUGGGGAYUAGCAUGAASGGCACCACGAAGGCCUCACUGUSUCCUUUUUYUWAUCAKUGAAACUGAUCUCCCCGUGAAGAAGCGGGGAUAAUAAUAUAARACRAGAAGACCCCAKGGAGCUUUAAACCCAGCAAGCAACCCUMAUCUACACWACCCAUYUAAAUUAUUUCCUCCCCUGCUUCCUGGUUUUARGUUGGGGUGACCGCKGAGUAAAACACAUCCUCCWUGACGUACRAGAUUAACCCUUAUCCWMGAACUACUCCUCUAAGAAUCGAUMAAUCGACGUUUUAUGAUCCMAUAUAUUGAUCAACGAACCAAGUUACCCUGGGGAUAACAGCGCAAUCCAUUUUAAGAGCCCCUAUCGACGAAUGGGUUUACGACCUCGAUGUUGGAUCAGGGUACCCAAGUGGUGCAGCCGCUA